UACGGAGGAGGCAAGCGUUAUCCGGAAUUAUUGGGCGUAAAGCGUCCGCAGGUGGCGAUUCAAGUCUGCGGUCAAAGACUGGGGCUUAACCCUGGAAAGGCCGUGGAAACUGAAUAGCUAGAGUGCAGUAGGGGUAGAGGGAAUUCCCGGUGUAGCGGUGAAAUGCGUAGAGCUCGGGAAGAACAUCGGUGGCGAAAGCGGCAUCCUGGACCGGUAUUGACGCUGAGGCGCGAAAGCUAGGGGAGCAAACGGG
RNAcentral lists this ribosomal RNA (253 nucleotides) under uncultured bacterium. RNAcentral's name for it is "partial 16S ribosomal RNA". It matches the Rfam family "Bacterial small subunit ribosomal RNA", at positions 524 to 776 of the family's 1533-position model. The record is from RNAcentral.